CACGGGUGCGAUAAAGAUCCCGCUAAAGGGCUCCGUGGCGUACAGGCCUGGGCGCGACGACGUCUCAAACUCGUUGAGCAGGGUGCCCUCGCCGGGAGCCAGCGUGAUCACAGUGCCGGGGACGAUGAUACUGCUGAACCCGAUCGCCGCCAGCGUCGGACCCGGCGGUCCGGGCGGUCCCGGAGGACCUCUCUCGCCUGGUGUGCCCUGCGCACCCUGCGGUCCUGUCGGUCCCUGUAUGCCUGGAGGUCCUGCAGGUCCGGGUGGACCCGAUGGACCCGCGAUGCCGACGACAGACGUGCCGGGCGGGCCGGGCGGACCUGGCAGCGCACGUGCGCCGAGCCCCUGCACGAUACACGGGAUCGCGCACACCGCACUGCCCUGGCACGCGUGCGUCUCAAGGAUCGUGUCGUCGCCGUGAUCGUGAUCCUCAUGCAACACUGUGGGCCGCUCCUGCGCCAGUUGUCGGUGUCGACACGACGGCGUUGGCGUCGUCUGCCGCCUCGGGCACCACGGCGGUCCGCACGCAAAUGACAUGGCACACGCCCGAACCGAAGAGCCGACAGCGCAAAUGGAAGUCAAACCUUGAUGUGAAAGAGUGGCAUUUUUACGCCCGCGCGACACGUCAGAGGCGCCUCUGCACAGACAAGACAGACCGCGCCCGCCGUGCUUUCCCGGCGCGUUGUCGCUCCAUCUUUUUUUCCGCGUGCUCUGCCAAGGCGGCGUGCCUGGGCCACACACACACGCAAGGUUUAUGGCGGUGCGGCGCCAUCUUUGUCUCUGCCGGCGAGCGUGUCUCAUAACACAGUCGCUGUUGGCGUAUUUGGCAUUUCCUUCUUUUUUUAUUCACUGUCAUUUGGGAGGAGGAGACAACAUGGCGCCAAAAGAGAAAAAAGACGCGACAGCGAGCGCGGACGCCGAAAGACGCCGCGCACACAAAAGACAAAAGAGGGCAA
Molecule: long non-coding RNA, 956 nt
Filed under: Pandoravirus dulcis
Description: putative ncRNA
Source: RNAcentral